Molecule: ribosomal RNA, 1653 nt
Filed under: Vibrio parahaemolyticus
Lineage: Bacteria; Pseudomonadati; Pseudomonadota; Gammaproteobacteria; Vibrionales; Vibrionaceae
Description: partial 23S ribosomal RNA
Rfam family: Bacterial large subunit ribosomal RNA
Source: RNAcentral
AACAUCUAAGUACCCCGAGGAAAAGAAAUCAACCGAGAUUCCGAAAGUAGCGGCGAGCGAAAUUGGACUAGCCCUUAAGCUUUACACGCGUUAGACGAACGGUCUGGAAAGUCCGACGAUACAGGGUGAUAGUCCCGUAGUUGACGACGUGUGUUCAGUGAAAUCGAGUAGGGCGGGACACGUGAUAUCCUGUCUGAAUAUGGGGGGACCAUCCUCCAAGGCUAAAUACUACUGACUGACCGAUAGUGAACCAGUACCGUGAGGGAAAGGCGAAAAGAACCCCUGUGAGGGGAGUGAAAUAGAACCUGAAACCGUGUACGUACAAGCAGUAGGAGCAGGCUUUGUCCUGUGACUGCGUACCUUUUGUAUAAUGGGUCAGCGACUUAUAUUCAGUGGCAAGGUUAACCAUCUAGGGGAGCCGUAGGGAAACCGAGUCUUAACUGGGCGUUCAGUCUCUGGAUAUAGACCCGAAACCAGGUGAUCUAGCCAUGGGCAGGUUGAAGGUUGAGUAACAUCAACUGGAGGACCGAACCGACUAAUGUUGAAAAAUUAGCGGAUGACUUGUGGCUAGGGGUGAAAGGCCAAUCAAACCUGGAGAUAGCUGGUUCUCCCCGAAAGCUAUUUAGGUAGCGCCUCGGACGAAUACUACUGGGGGUAGAGCACUGUUAAGGCUAGGGGGUCAUCCCGACUUACCAACCCUUUGCAAACUCCGAAUACCAGUAAGUACUAUCCGGGAGACACACGGCGGGUGCUAACGUCCGUCGUGGAGAGGGAAACAACCCAGACCGCCAGCUAAGGUCCCAAAUUACUACUAAGUGGGAAACGAUGUGGGAAGGCUCAGACAGCCAGGAUGUUGGCUUAGAAGCAGCCAUCAUUUAAAGAAAGCGUAAUAGCUCACUGGUCGAGUCGGCCUGCGCGGAAGAUGUAACGGGGCUAAGUAGUAAACCGAAGCUGCGGCAAUGUGCUUUUGCACAUUGGGUAGGGGAGCGUUCUGUAAGCGGUUGAAGGUGUGUGGUAACGCAUGCUGGACGUAUCAGAAGUGCGAAUGCUGACAUGAGUAACGAUAAAGGGGGUGAAAAACCUCCUCGCCGGAAGACCAAGGGUUCCUGUCCAACGUUAAUCGGGGCAGGGUAAGUCGACCCCUAAGGCGAGGCCGAAAGGCGUAGUCGAUGGGAAACGGGUUAAUAUUCCCGUACUUCUUACAAUUGCGAUGGGGGGACGGAGAAGGCUAGGUGGGCCUGGCGACGGUUGUCCAGGUUCAAGUGCGUAGGCUUAAGAGUUAGGUAAAUCCGGCUCUUUUUAAGGCUGAGACACGACGUCGAGCACCUACGGGUGUGAAGUCAUUGAUGCCAUGCUUCCAGGAAAAGCCUCUAAGCUUCAGAUUGUAAGGAAUCGUACCCCAAACCGACACAGGUGGUCGGGUAGAGAAUACCAAGGCGCUUGAGAGAACUCGGGUGAAGGAACUAGGCAAAAUGGUACCGUAACUUCGGGAGAAGGUACGCUCUCGACGGUGAAGUCCCUCGCGGAUGGAGCUAUUGAGAGUCGCAGAUACCAGGUGGCUGCAACUGUUUAUUAAAAACACAGCACUGUGCAAAAUCGUAAGAUGACGUAUACGGUGUGACGCCUGCCCGGUGCCGGAAGGUUAAUUGAUGG